UACGAAGGGGGCUAGCGUUGUUCGGAAUUACUGGGCGUAAAGGGCGUGUAGGCGGGACGGUAAGUCGGGCGUGAAAUCCCUAGGCUCAACCUAGGAACUGCACUCGAAACUACCAUUCUUGAGUGUCGGAGAGGAAAGCGGAAUUCCUGGUGUAGAGGUGAAAUUCGUAGAUAUCAGGAGGAACACCAGUGGCGAAGGCGGCUUUCUGGACGAUAACUGACGCUGAGACGCGAAAGCGUGGGGAGCAAACAGG
RNAcentral lists this ribosomal RNA (253 nucleotides) under uncultured bacterium. RNAcentral describes it as "partial 16S ribosomal RNA". It matches the Rfam family "Bacterial small subunit ribosomal RNA", at positions 524 to 776 of the family's 1533-position model. The record is from RNAcentral.